Doryrhamphus excisus (bluestripe pipefish) is the source of this 405-nucleotide non-coding RNA. The record is from RefSeq and is a predicted model, not a curated record. NCBI's taxonomy places the organism in Eukaryota, Metazoa, Chordata, Actinopteri, Syngnathiformes, Syngnathidae.
GUGUCGCAGAGGCAGAACUGUCUGAGGAAAAACGAUGCAUCACUGACACGCUCCAUUAACAUGUUGGAAGGGUGAGGUAACCUCUCGGUGACUCACGAGUCCGCAAAGAAGUAGAUCAACCAUUCCAAAAUCUCCAUUGGAAGAACAAGACUGGGAUGGACUACAAGGCCAUGAUUGGUGCAAUAAUUCACAAGAUAAGUCCGUUGUUCCCACUCUGGAUCAUUGUGCAAGAUUUCACCAAGUGGGGUAACAACGAUUAAGAUGACAAAGGAAUAAGCUCAGUCUUUUGGACCAUCCCGUGUGUUCCCAAGAUCUAAAUCCAACUGGGAACAUUUUGGGAAUGGAUGUCGAGGGAAGUUUACAAAACCGGGCGUUAUUUCCAGACAGUCCAUGCCCUUUGUGAAA